GCGGUGCUGAUUAGGGGUUGUUCUUACUCUCCCUUGCAAUUAUUUUGUACUUGUAGGGGUGCAUGUAGGCACGGUCCUUGUGAUGCGGUACGUGAUGGUGUGUGAGUGGUAUUUGGUUUGUGUGGUUGGCGGGCUCUUUGCUUGUGCAUUGGACCGUUCACCAACAUACCUUUUCAUUGUAUGCUGCAAGUGCACCAUUUUGCCUUGGGCGACGUGUGGUCCCUAUGUUGGAUUCCGAUUAACGGUAUUGUUGUUGUCCCUUUAAAGAGUGAUAUUCGCUCUACGUCCGUAAAAGGAGGUCGAGCGGACCAUGAAACUUGACUCGUUAUCCUCCUGUUUUGUGAAAACAAGCAUGAUAGGGUUGGAUUAUGAUCUCAAGUUGGGCCCUAGGAUACAGAAAGUUGUGUGGGAGUUGAUGUAAAAACGUCGCAAACCCAAAGCGUUGGUACGCUAAUGAUGGAUGACAUUCGAGUGUGUUGUGAUUCUUUCAUUCUAGAAAGGUUCAUGCUCGCCGAUGUCGACCAAGGAGUGCUACCUGGUUGAUCCUGCCAGUAGUCAUAUGCUUGUCUCAAAGAUUAAGCCAUGCAUGUGUAAGUAUGAAC
RNAcentral lists this unclassified non-coding RNA (602 nucleotides) under Salicornia persica. Its description in RNAcentral is "partial contains external transcribed spacer and small subunit ribosomal RNA". The stretch from base 533 to 602 matches the Rfam family "Eukaryotic small subunit ribosomal RNA", at positions 1 to 70 of the family's 1831-position model. RNAcentral also lists the same sequence under 15 other names. The record is from RNAcentral. Lineage: Eukaryota; Viridiplantae; Streptophyta; Magnoliopsida; Caryophyllales; Amaranthaceae.